GUAAGUCAAUGUCACAACUGUCGACAAAGAAGUUUCAAACUAUACCUAUGAACCUCUCCUUCACUCCACCCCAAUGGGAACUCUGAUUUUUCACUGUCUUACACCCUCAACCUCCCCCCUCUACCAGCAUUGCUAGUAGAAACAGCACUCCAAAGGUACCGACCCAGAAUGACUUAUUUUUCCUGGAUUUGAAUGGCUCCAAACACUUCGCUCUGUGCUCAUAAACACAAAACACACUGGAUGGUUCAAGUACUUCAUGCAGGCUCUCACCUGCUCAUGUGGCAAGCUCUCCACGCUGUGAAUGACUUAUUUCCUUCUUAUCAUCUGUCAAGAGGAAGGGAACUUUGGAAGGCAAUGGAGAGGGGCCCAGAGUGGAGGGAGCUGGCCUAGGAAAUGCAAGCACGAGGAGAACAUUCUAGUCCUGGUCCAGGGCAGACAGAGGGCAGCACCAGGGGCCCAGCUUUCUGAGCUAAGGGCCAUGGAGAGAGGAGCACGAGGAGGAAGACAGGGUCUGAGGACAAGUGACCCUGCAUUGUGUCCUUUCUCAGGCCUGGCACCUGGUCCUGGUUGCCAAUUCACCCAUGGUGUUCCCAUUAGUCCUCAUGGGCAUGCUUAUGGGCUAAUAUAGCCCUCGAAAUCACCUUCUGGCAUUGAAAAUUCUGCCUUGGGGCUUCUAAAGCACUGGAAAGUCUGCAGGGACCCCUCUCCUCCAGGCCAGUUGAAUCGAUUCCCUGGAUCUUUAGAGGAAUAAGAAACGCACCCUGACAGUAAUUCCCUGCAUUGGGUACACCAGCGCUGCACUCGGCAAUUGAAUGUUACGUGUGGAUUUUAGUUUAUAUUAUUUAAAACAUACACAUCCGUACCUAUCAGAAUGUCCUUCUUUUCACUGUUAGUUGCAAAGGUGAUACGUGUUAAAGGUGACCUGUGUUAUGGCAAUGAAACCACAAAUACAGUUCAGCAUGAUGGCGUUGUGGUGUGGUGCCAGCGCACUGAUACGAGUGCCAGAAGCCUUGCUCCUUAGCUUUGUGACCUCGUGCCUGGCUGGAUUGUACAAAAACUUAAAUCCAAAUAUCAAAUUCCUCUUAUUCUUAGCAUAUUCUCUUAAGAUAUUCUUCUCUGUGGAAGCAGAAAUUUUCUCGGAGUUUUCUGGUAACAUUUUUUUUUUUUUGCAACUUCCAAUUUGACUUGAGACAAAAAUUUAUGAUCUUAUAGAAACAAAGAAACCAUCUUUAGGAAGAAUACACUUGCCCGUGGCUUCACCAAAACUUCGAAGAAAGAUACUGCCCAAGUACAAAACAUGGCCGGAGUGCCUCCUCCCUUUCCCACUGCUGGAGCUGCACAUUGGCCUCGGGGGCUGAUGUGGCUGCGGAGGCAAGAGCUCAUGUCGUCCCUCACACUCGUGAGUCCUUGGAGAGCUGGGGCUCAGCCACACACGAUGACCUACAGACGCUGGAAUACUGGCCCCAUUGUUUGUGUACACGAGUGACUCUGCACAGUCCUCUGCUAGAACUUUCUACAGUAUAUCAGAGUAAAACAAAAUAAGUAAACUGGGCGUUUCAUAUUAAAAUGGUUAGUAAGCAUUUGAGAAGUUGUGUUCAUAUACUGCUAAGUGGGAAUGAAAGGUUACAAAACAGUGUGUGCCAUACAAUUCUGUUUUUAUUUAAAAAUACACAAAGAAGAAAAGACUAGCAGGAGAUAAAGCAAAAUGUUCAUAACAGCUUUGUCUUGCGUCAUUACAAUGAUAUAAGAAUGACACAAAAAUUCUCAUUCAUUUCCUUUAUAUCCUUCCAGUGUUUCUUUAUGAAAAUAAAUGGAAAUACAA
Molecule: long non-coding RNA, 1822 nt
Organism: Equus asinus (donkey)
Lineage: Eukaryota; Metazoa; Chordata; Mammalia; Perissodactyla; Equidae
Source: Ensembl